Solanum dulcamara is the source of this 1207-nucleotide long non-coding RNA. RefSeq lists it as uncharacterized. NCBI's taxonomy places the organism in Eukaryota, Viridiplantae, Streptophyta, Magnoliopsida, Solanales, Solanaceae. The transcript is spliced from 3 exons. The record is from RefSeq and is a predicted model, not a curated record.
CAAGUCUCCUUCAGACUUUCAAGAAUUUCUUAGAAUUAAGAUCAAUUCUUACUCAACACAUCGAAACUGUGCACAUGGAGGCUAAACCAUUCUCAUGUAGUUUCGAAUUCUGGUGUGCAAUUUUCAGCAUAUACGCAUGGAGAUUUUAAAGAUGCCGGUGAGCAAUUUCUAGCUGGACCAAGAGGUGGGAGGAAGAAAGAGUUUACUCUUUCCUAGUCAAUCAACUGCUGGAACAUCUCUUUGUGGUUACUCUCAGUGAAAUUAAAUUAUCAACUGUGAGUCCUGUUUGGCCAGAUCUCGUUGUAAAUAUUUGUCUUUCAUUUGCUUCCACUGGGUUUUUGUUAUUGUUUGUUCUGUGUAAUAUUUUAUUUAGCUGGGAGAAAGAGGGAAUCUACUCUUUUUGAGUCAAUUAUGCAACAAAGGAUUAAUCAUACCACCCAAUGAUACAAAUCUCGUGUUCAAUUAAGCAUAUGAAUAUAUCUUGUGGUUACUCGCAGUGACAUCAUUUUAUCAACUAUGCGUCUGUCUAUCUGCUGAGAUCUAUCCUAAAUUUUUGACAUUCAUUUUCUUCCUUUGGAUUUUCAUUUUGCUUGUUCUCUAUGUUGUAUGUUAAUUUUUCUUUCGUCGCUUUCAAGUUGUAUUUACAAGUCUAAAGAACUACAUUCUCAAUAAUAUGGACCACAUAUGGUGUAGAGGAAUAUAAUCAACUCAGCCUGUCAGAGCAAGAACUUACUUUUUUUCAAGAAGUAUUCUAAUGCGUGCAUUGACUAAUGCUUGAGGAGCUUUUACAUUCAUAUUAGGGUAGAUUUAAUCACUCCUGGACAAAUAUAUGAUUAGCCACUAAUCUUACCUAUGAUUUGUGACUAUUAGACUUACUGUAAUUUCGAUUUGGCUACAUAGGAGUGAGUUUUGAUAUAAUGGCAUAUAGUAUUUACACUUCGGAUUAAGUAUUUCAUAAAAUUGUACUAUUUUUAUAUGUUAAUUUUUAUUUGUGAAUUGCAGCACAGUAAAUCUACAGCAUGCUAGUAUUACCAAGAGAUUUUUUCUGAGUUAAUACACUAAAAUUGAGAACAGCAAAACAAGGUUGAUUUAUCAUGAGUAUUGUGAAGUGUAUUUGGUAAUUGUGACGUGAUAUAACUUUUUAAGUUAUUUUCAUUUGUUGCUUUUGAUGUAGAUUAUUUAUAUACAAAGAAAGUUCAAAAGCAUC